GCCANNNNNNNNNNNNNNNNNNNNUGGUACUACAGGAGCGCACCACCACACCUGGCUUAUUUUCUUGUAUUUUUAAUAGAGACAGGGUUUUGCCAUGUCGGCCAGGCUGGUCUCAAACUCCUGACCUCAGGUGAUCCACUCUCCUCGGCCUCCCGAAGUGCUGGGAUUAUAGGUGUGAGCCACCGUGCCCAACCACAUGAUUUCAUUUUUGUUGGCAACAUCCAAAGCAUCAUAAUCAGCAGCCAGUUGAACAUAUGCCUUCUUCUCUCCAUCAGGCCUAUUCAGGGUGUUGACCACUGCCACGUCGAUGUCAUAGAGCUUCUUCACAGCCUGUUUGAUCUGGUGCUUGUUGGCUUUAACAUCCACAAUGAACACAGUGUGUUGUUGUCGUCUGUCUUCUUCGUGGCCAACUCAGUGGUCAGCGGAAACUUGAUGAUAACACAGUGGCCAAGCUUGUUUCUCCCAGGGAUGCUCUUCUGGGAAUAUCUGGGCCGCCUCCAGAGUCGCAGUGUCUUGGGCCGCUGGAAGGCUGCCUACUGUCGAGAGCUCAUGGAUGAUUUGUCCUUUGAAGGGUUUUCUCACCGGAAGCUCCGCCAUUGCCUGGUGUGAGUGGUUCAUCCACAAGUGGCAGCCAAGAGCCUCCUGGCAGUGGCAUCAGGUAGGUGGUGCCUAUUGCACCCCAGAAGUCAUCCCAGCUCCAGAUGUGAACACGUUUUCUUCCACUAGUCAGCACAAUGUUAAGCUCUGUAAAUGCAAAUCAAUUAAUUCUUCCAGCAUCUUCAUGAGGCAGGGCUUGCUGUUUUUCCAGAUGUCUACAGAUGAGGAAACCGAGGCCUGGAGAGGUUAAGGAGGCCUGUUCAAAGUCAUACAGUGGCGGCAGACAGGGUCUCAUAUGUUGCCCAGGCUUGUCUCGAACUCCUGGCCUCAAGAGAGCUUCCCGCCUUGGUCUCACAAAGUGCUGGGAUUAUAUGUCUUUAAUACACAGCAGCUUUUACAUUUAAAAAAAUAAAAGGGGGUCAUGCCUGUAAUCCCAGCACUUUGGGAGGCUGAGGCGGGCAGAUCACGAGGUCAGGAGAUCGAGACCAUCCUGGCUAACAUGGUGAAACCCCGUCUCUACUAAAAAAAAUACAAAAAAGUAGCUGGGCGUGGUGGCGGGCACCUGUAGUCCCAGCUACUUGGGAGGCUGAGGCAGGAGAAUGGCGCAAACCUGGGAGGCAGAGCUUGUAGUGAGCUGAGAUCGCGCCAC
Molecule: long non-coding RNA, 1246 nt
Filed under: Pan paniscus (pygmy chimpanzee)
Lineage: Eukaryota; Metazoa; Chordata; Mammalia; Primates; Hominidae
Description: lncRNA (ENSPPAG00000045283.1)
Source: RNAcentral